RNAcentral lists this ribosomal RNA (642 nucleotides) under uncultured bacterium. Its description in RNAcentral is "bacterial SSU rRNA". It matches the Rfam family "Bacterial small subunit ribosomal RNA", at positions 232 to 884 of the family's 1533-position model. The record is from RNAcentral.
CGCGGCCUAUCAGCUUGUUGGUGGGGUGAUGGCCUACCAAGGCGACGACGGGUAGCCGGCCUGAGAGGGCGACCGGCCACACUGGGACUGAGACACGGCCCAGACUCCUACGGGAGGCAGCAGUGGGGAAUCUUGCGCAAUGGGCGAAAGCCUGACGCAGCGACGCCGCGUGAGGGAUGACGGCCUUCGGGUUGUAAACCUCUUUCAGCCCUGACGAAGCGAAAGUGACGGUAGGGGCAGAAGAAGCACCGGCCAACUACGUGCCAGCAGCCGCGGUAAUACGUAGGGUGCAAGCGUUGUCCGGAAUUAUUGGGCGUAAAGAGCUCGUAGGUGGCCUGUCGCGUCGGCUGUGAAAACUCGGGGCUCAACUCCGAGCUUGCAGUCGAUACGGGCAGGCUAGAGUGCGGCAGGGGAGACUGGAAUUCCUGGUGUAGCGGUGAAAUGCGCAGAUAUCAGGAGGAACACCGGUGGCGAAGGCGGGUCUCUGGGCCGAUACUGACACUGAGGAGCGAAAGCGUGGGGAGCGAACAGGAUUAGAUACCCUGGUAGUCCACGCCGUAAACGUUGGGCGCUAGGUGUGGGAUCCCUUCCACGGGUUCCGUGCCGCAGCUAACGCAUUAAGCGCCCCGCCUGGGGAGUACG